Molecule: ribosomal RNA, 1159 nt
Filed under: Bacillus subtilis
Lineage: Bacteria; Bacillati; Bacillota; Bacilli; Caryophanales; Bacillaceae
Description: bacterial SSU rRNA
Rfam family: Bacterial small subunit ribosomal RNA
Source: RNAcentral
AGCUUGCUCCCUGAUGUUAGCGGCGGACGGGUGAGUAACACGUGGGUAACCUGCCUGUAAGACUGGGAUAACUCCGGGAAACCGGGGCUAAUACCGGAUGGUUGUUUGAACCGCAUGGUUCAAACAUAAAAGGUGGCUUCGGCUACCACUUACAGAUGGACCCGCGGCGCAUUAGCUAGUUGGUGAGGUAACGGCUCACCAAGGCGACGAUGCGUAGCCGACCUGAGAGGGUGAUCGGCCACACUGGGACUGAGACACGGCCCAGACUCCUACGGGAGGCAGCAGUAGGGAAUCUUCCGCAAUGGACGAAAGUCUGACGGAGCAACGCCGCGUGAGUGAUGAAGGUUUUCGGAUCGUAAAGCUCUGUUGUUAGGGAAGAACAAGUACCGUUCGAAUAGGGCGGUACCUUGACGGUACCUAACCAGAAAGCCACGGCUAACUACGUGCCAGCAGCCGCGGUAAUACGUAGGUGGCAAGCGUUGUCCGGAAUUAUUGGGCGUAAAGGGCUCGCAGGCGGUUUCUUAAGUCUGAUGUGAAAGCCCCCGGCUCAACCGGGGAGGGUCAUUGGAAACUGGGGAACUUGAGUGCAGAAGAGGAGAGUGGAAUUCCACGUGUAGCGGUGAAAUGCGUAGAGAUGUGGAGGAACACCAGUGGCGAAGGCGACUCUCUGGUCUGUAACUGACGCUGAGGAGCGAAAGCGUGGGGAGCGAACAGGAUUAGAUACCCUGGUAGUCCACGCCGUAAACGAUGAGUGCUAAGUGUUAGGGGGUUUCCGCCCCUUAGUGCUGCAGCUAACGCAUUAAGCACUCCGCCUGGGGAGUACGGUCGCAAGACUGAAACUCAAAGGAAUUGACGGGGGCCCGCACAAGCGGUGGAGCAUGUGGUUUAAUUCGAAGCAACGCGAAGAACCUUACCAGGUCUUGACAUCCUCUGACAAUCCUAGAGAUAGGACGUCCCCUUCGGGGGCAGAGUGACAGGUGGUGCAUGGUUGUCGUCAGCUCGUGUCGUGAGAUGUUGGGUUAAGUCCCGCAACGAGCGCAACCCUUGAUCUUAGUUGCCAGCAUUCAGUUGGGCACUCUAAGGUGACUGCCGGUGACAAACCGGAGGAAGGUGGGGAUGACGUCAAAUCAUCAUGCCCCUUAUGACCUGGGCUACACAC